CCUACGUGUGGCAGCAGUGGGGAAUAUUGCACAAUGGGGGAAACUCUGAUGCAGCGACGCCGCGUGCGUGAAGAAGUAUUUCGGUAUGUAAAGCUCUAUCAGCAGGGAAGAGAAUGACGGUACCUGAGUAAGAAGUCCCGUCUAACUACGUGCCAGCAGCCGCGGAAAUACGUAGGGGGCAAGCGUUAUCCGGAUUUAAUGGGUGGAAAGGGAGCGUAGACGGCGAAGAAAGUCUGAAGUGAAAGCCCGCGGCUCAACCGCGGAACUGCUUUGGAAACUUUUUUGCUGGAGUACAGGAGAGGUAAGCGGAAUUCCGAGUGUAGCGGUGAAAUGCGUAGAUAUUAGGAGGAACACCAGUGGCGAAGGCGGGUUACUGGACGGUAACUGACGUUGAGGCUCGAAAGCGUGGGGAGCAAACAGGAUUAGAUACCCCAGUAGUC
This 440-nucleotide ribosomal RNA is filed under the name uncultured bacterium. Its description in RNAcentral is "partial 16S ribosomal RNA". It matches the Rfam family "Bacterial small subunit ribosomal RNA", at positions 338 to 795 of the family's 1533-position model. The record is from RNAcentral.